RNAcentral lists this ribosomal RNA (1522 nucleotides) under Anaerolactibacter massiliensis. RNAcentral's name for it is "16S ribosomal RNA". It matches the Rfam family "Bacterial small subunit ribosomal RNA". The record is from RNAcentral. Lineage: Bacteria; Bacillati; Bacillota; Erysipelotrichia; Erysipelotrichales; Erysipelotrichaceae.
AUGGAGAGUUUGAUCCUGGCUCAGGAUAAACGCUGGCGGCGUGCCUAAUACAUGCAAGUCGAACGAGGGAAGGCAAGCUUGCUUGCCGGAACGAGUGGCGAACGGGUGAGUAAUACAUAAGCAACCUGCCUGUAAGGACCGGGAUAAUGCCUGGAAACGGGUACUAAAACCGGAUAGGCAUAGAUGGGGCAUCCCAUUUAUGUUAAAGGUGAGAGACACAAACAGAUGGGCUUAUGGCGCAUUAGCCAGUUGGUGAGGUAACGGCCCACCAAAGCGAUGAUGCGUAGCCGGCCUGAGAGGGUGAACGGCCACAUUGGGACUGAGACACGGCCCAGACUCCUACGGGAGGCAGCAGUAGGGAAUUUUCGGCAAUGGGGGGAACCCUGACCGAGCAACGCCGCGUGAGUGAAGAAGGUUUUCGGAUUGUAAAGCUCUGUUGCAAGGGAAGAACGGCACAUAGAGGAUAUGUGAGUGACGGUACCUUGCGAGGAAGCCACGGCUAACUACGUGCCAGCAGCCGCGGUAAUACGUAGGUGGCGAGCGUUAUCCGGAAUUAUUGGGCGUAAAGGGUGCGUAGGCGGCCUUUUAAGUUUAAGGUGAAAGCGUGGGGCUUAACCCCAUAAAGCCUUAGAUACUGGGAGGCUAGAGUACUGGAGAGGAAAGUAGAAUUCCAUGUGUAGCGGUAAAAUGCGUAGAUAUAUGGAGGAAUACCGGUGGCGAAGGCGGCUUUCUAGACAGUAACUGACGCUGAGGCACGAAAGCGUGGGGAGCAAAUAGGAUUAGAUACCCUAGUAGUCCACGCUGUAAACGAUGAAUGCUAAGUAUCGGGGCGACCCGGUGCUGCAGCCAACGCAAUAAGCAUUCCGCCUGUGGAGUAUGCACGCAAGUGUGAAACAUAAAGGAAUUGACGGGGGCCCGCACAAGCGGUGGAGUAUGUGGUUUAAUUCGACGCAACGCGAAGAACCUUACCAGGCCUUGACAUCCCUUGCAGAGGUGUAGAGAUACAUCCGAGGUUAUCAAGGAGACAGGUGGUGCAUGGUUGUCGUCAGCUCGUGUCGUGAGAUGUUGGGUUAAGUCCCGCAACGAGCGCAACCCUUGUCUUCAGUUACCAUCAUUAAGUUGGGGACUCUGAAGAGACUGCUGGUGAUAAACCGGAGGAAGGUGGGGAUGACGUCAAAUCAUCAUGCCCCUUAUGGCCUGGGCUACACACGUACUACAAUGGCGUAUACAACGAGGAGCGACACUGCGAAGUGAAGCAAAUCUCUUAAAGUACGUCUCAGUUCGGAUUGAAGUCUGCAACCCGACUUCAUGAAGCUGGAAUCGCUAGUAAUCGCGGAUCAGCAUGCCGCGGUGAAUACGUUCUCGGGCCUUGUACACACCGCCCGUCAUACCAUGAGAGUUGGCAAUACCCGAAGCCGGUGGCCUAACCGCAAGGAAGGAGCCGUCGAAGGUAGGGCUGAUGAUUGGGGUCAAGUCGUAACAAGGUAUCCCUACGAGAACGUGGGGAUGGAUCACCUCCUUU